GUUCGUUUUUCUGAGUAAUAUGGAAAUGGCACGGCUCAGCCACACAAGGGCCUGGGCAAAGGUCACGGCCAGCAAAGAACACAGCCUGGGUCCUCUGAGUCCCGAGUCCACGCGAUCCUGACCCGUCCACCACCCUCCUCGAGACACGACAAGUUAGGCGGGAACAUAACCUGGGAGCCCCAUGUCGGUUUCAGGCUCCACAAGGGAUCUCUGGGUAAAGGGUUUGUCUCUUCCACAUCUGUUCAUUUAGGAGAAGCAAAGAACAUGGAAAGCAGAAUUCCUGGGGGUGGCCUCAACCCCAAGCCCUGCCGAUGCAAACCGGCACCUUGAAGAUGCCUUUGGAAUUUAACUGGAAGAUUUGAAUGACAUGGGCAGACACAGAAGAGGGAGAAGCAUUCCACAGGGGAGGAAAGGCCUCAGUGGGGACCUAUGGAGCUCCCAGGCCCACCGCAGGGAGGCAGGUCCUCGGUCAUCUGCGGAGGGAGAACACUUUCAGUCGAAGGAGCCUGGGACCCUUGACACAGAAGUGACAUGUGCAUUCGGAACCUCUCUGUGGAAAACACAGACCCUUCAUGACACGCAAACUCGAAGCCGGUGAGGCCGAGUCUCAGGGCUGCGCCAACCAGGAAGCCUGGCUGUCCAAUGUUCCAAAUCUGGAUGUGAAAUGGACCAUGCAGACAGGACCCAAGGGGCAUGGGGGAGCUGGCAGAGGCACCCGGGACAAGUGGGGAAGCACCUGUCGGCCAGGAAGGUAGAGAGGCACCUACCCCAGAACACGGUGCCAGCGUCACACUCUUAUUAACAGAUGCAAUAACCACCUUCGGAGACCAGACCCCUCAAAGAGCACUCAGCCCACAAUGUGACGCAGAGAAACCAGAGACCCAGGCAGGGAGUGCACCCACGGGGACACUCCGAGGGUGGCCUCCUGCCUGCCCUGAUUACUUAAAAAGGAGAUUCUUGGAAACCUUUGCGGGCCCACAGGUGCACCCUGACUCCCAGGGAUGGGGGCUGAGCCACCCAGGAAACAAAUAUGAAAUCAAAGAUCCAGACAGCCCUGACCCUCCUGAUUCCAGGGUCCAUAAAUAAGUCAUUCUUAAAAUAGUGGUUGUUUUCUCUCUAUUUAAGAAGUGCUUCUUUUUUGAGUCCUUGUUCCCAACUUCCCUGGCAACUCAGUUUCCUGUUUCCUCCGGGAGGAAGGCAGAACUGCAGGAGAGCUCAGGACCCUGCUGCCUCCACCACUCUCUCCUGGAAAACUGUCCAGCAUCACAGCUGCGGCUCCAGCCUCCUCCGGGCCCAGGUGUGGAGGGCAAGUGCUGCCUCCACCACCCUUGCUAUGCGUCUCCACUUCACACAUGGGCAUCCGUGACCACACGUGUGCACCCGUGAAAAGCGUGCAUUUCCAGUGGUGUCUGCAUCAUUUGCAUAUCACUGACAGAAAGAUACCCUUUCACAAUUCUAUUCUCCCUCCUGACCCAUAUUUUCUGAAAUGCACCUGGGUGAAAACAUAAAUCUGGAAGCUUCUUUGCUCCUUUUACAGCUGCCUAGUAUUCUUUUUUUUCUUUUAAGAGAUGGGGUCUCAUUUUGUUGCCCAGGCUGGAGUAUAGGGGUGCGAUCACAGCUCACCGCAGCCUCCAACUCCUGGGUUUAAGGUGUCCUCUCACCUGAGCCUCCCAAGUAGCUGGGACUACAGGCACGUGCCACCACGCCUGCUUAUUUUUAUUUUUUAUUUUUUAAUUGAUGGGUCUCGCUAUGUUGCCCAGGCUGGUCUCCAACUCCUGACCUCAAGCAAUCCUCCUACCUUGGCCUCCCAAAGUGCUGGGAUUACAGGCAUGAGCCGCUGCACCCGCCCUGCCUGGCAUUCUCUAUAUGAAAACCCUCGCUCCUUCACCUGUUCCUGCCCAGAUGGACGUUUCCAGUGCUUCUGGUUCCUGCCAUCACACGCUGGGCCACGAUGGACAUGACAGAACUCCCCAUGAACAGGGGGCAGGUCAAUGUGGCUGCACCCCAGUGACUCGAGGCUCACGUUCCACUCACGUGCUUCUACCACAGCCUAAGCAAAGGCAGGGGUGGGCUGAAACCCUUCCUGGGAGGUUUCAGUCUCCAGAGGGGGCUGUUCAGUCCUUGGUAUCAAUGAAAGCCGACUUUCCACACACCCAGGUGCCUGGGCGUGGCCCCGCUCAGAGCAGCCCCUCCUGGAGUGCCUCUUAAAUGAGCCUCACUGGGUUGCUCCGUUGGCCACACAGGUGUCCCUCAUCUCCCCAGGGACGGAGGAACACAGUCCCCAACUCUCUGUGAUCAGCAGAGCCCAGAGAGCCCAGCCUCGUGUACCAAAAAGGUCUGGGAGCCCCAUUUUUCUUCAGAGGAAAUGUUAAUGCCCGAAUGUCACCAGCUCAUCGCCGACAAAGGCCUGAACACAAACGUCUCCAGGCAACAGCCCCGAGCAGUCACUCUGGAAGGUUACGUGAAGCUGCUGGCUCAGAUUUUAAAUCGUCUCACAUGUGGGUUGCCCCACCUACCCCAUCAACAAACACAGCUUCGCACUUCUGCAUCAGAGGCUGUGCUGGGUUCUGGGGACACGGAAGGCCCCCAGCUCUCAGGCCUGGUAAGAGAAAGAAAAACACGAAGACAUUCCAGCCGGCCCUUCCUGCGGGGGCCGAGGGCAGAGCCCCUGGUCUGUCUCUUGCUCCAUCCUCACCCGCCCCUAUGAGGUCAGCACUGCUGUUCCGUCCAGUUUCCAGAUAAGGAAACAAGACACAAAGUAACUUCACCCAAGGUCAAGAAGCCAGGAAGAGGUGAAGUCAGGCUGAAGCCCCUAUCAUGAACGCUCCUCCACGGUCUGGCUUCCCUAUAGGGGCAGAGCCCUCCUCCGAGCAGAGCAUGUGCCUCCCUCUCGUCCACCCCUCCCUCUCUCUGUCUCUCUCUCCAUCUGUGCCCUGGACUGGUCUCUAAGCUGGGGAUUGAGGGCCUGAGCGUCUGGGACGGCCACCCCCAGCUCUCUCUGGGCAGGCGUCCAGUAAGGAGCCCCUGCUAUUUGGGUCAGGGCUGGCCAGUGGUGCUGGGUCAGGACAGUUUCCAGGAAACGGCCUGUCCCGGGUUCCAGUCCUACCUGGCCUGUGGCUCAGAGAUCACAAACCUUUUGAAAGCCCCCGCCCACACCACUCCCGAUCCUGAUGCCUCCCCCUCCUGCAACACCUCAGUUCCUGUGCUUCUCACUCCACGGAUGGCUUCCGCCUCCCACAGCUGACUGAGCUCUCAGAUGGAGACCACAUGUUCCUUGCAGGCUCUAGUGCCCAGCCCGGGUCUGACGCAGAAGCUCCUCAGCACAAUAUGGAUGGUUGGAUGGGUGGGUGGAUGAACGGAUGAGUGAAUGGACACAUGGAUGUACAGGUGGGUGAGUAGACGAAUGAAUGGAUGGAUGGAUGGAUGGAUGGAUGGACAGGCGGGUGGAUUGAACAGGUGGGUGAGCGGAUGGAUGGAUGGACAAAUGGGUGAGUAGAUGAAUCGAUGGAUGGAUGGACAGGUGGGUGGAUGAACAGGUGGGUGAGUAGAUCAACGGAUGGAUGGAUGGAUGGACAGGUGGGUGGAUGAACAGGUGGGUGAGUAGAUCAACGGAUGGAUGGAUGGAUGGAUGGACAGAUGGAUGGACGGACAGGUGGGUGGAUGAAUAGGUGGGUGAGUAGAAUAACGGAUGGAUGGAUGGAUGGAUGGAUGGACGGACAGGUGGGUGGAUGAACAGGUGUGUGAGUAGAUUUGAGUAGAUUAAUGGAUGGAUGGAUGGAUGUAAGGAUGGAUGAUGGAUGGAUGGACAGGUGGGUGGAUGUACAGGUGGGUGAGUAGAUCAACGGAUGGAUGGAUGGAUAGAUGGACAGGUGGGUGGAUGAACAGGUGGGUGAGUAGAUCAACGGAUGGAUGGAUGGAUAGAUGGAUGGACGGACAGGUGGGUGGAUGAACAGGUGUGUGAGUAGAUUUGAGUAGAUUAAUGGAUGGAUGGAUGGACAGGUGGGUGGAUGUACAAGUGGGUGGGUGGAUGGAUAGAUGGAUGGAUGGACAGGUGGGUGGAUGAACAGGUGUGUGAGUAGAUUUGAGUAGAUUAGUGGAUGGAUGGAUGGAUGGAUGUAAGGAUGGAUGAUAGAUGGAUGGAUGGACAGCUGGGUGGAUGAACAAGUGGGUGGGUGGAUGGAUAGAUGGAUGGAUGGACAGGUGGAUGGACCGACAGAUGAUGGAUGGGUGGCUAUUAGAGGAGAGGAAGGAAGGGAAAAGUGAAUGAAAAAACGGAUGCCUGGAAGGAUGAAUGGAAGGAUGGCACUGCCUCUUUAAGGGCAUUGCAACAAAUAUCAAAAGCUGCUGGAGUGGCCACCCUUGGGACCCUCAGUUCCACAUUUAGGAACUUGAAGAAACAACGGGAUGACUAUGAAAAGAUGUAAAAAUAUUGUAAUAAUAUUCACCGAAGCACUGCCAGCAACAGAGGCUUUAUUAAAUAAACGACACUGAAAAGAUGUGUGUGUGUAAUAAUAUUCACCGAAGCACUGUCAGCAACAGAGGCUUUAUUAAAUAAACGACAAUGAAAAGAUGUGUGUGUGUAAUAAUAUUCACCGAAGCACUGUCAGCAAUACAGGCUUUAUUAAAUAAAUCACAGUCCUUCUCAACAACCUAACACCGUGUGGUCAUUAAAAAUGGUGGUGUAGAUACAUGUAACAAGGAAUAAAGGUGUUCACAGUGUUGCCAGUGAAAAUAGGGUGUCGAUGAAACUGUACAAUUUAAAAACACAACCAUAAAGUAAAUAACCUAGAGGCUAUGCACCGUAAGGCUAAUAGCAACUGUGGGGUGGAGAGGGGGUGGGGUUGGGGUCAUUUUCAUGUGUUUUUUUCUUUUUCUUUUGUUUUUUUUUUUUUGAUUACUUGUACUGACGUGUAUUUUCUAAUUUUCUAUAAUUACAUUGUAAAUCUGUGUAAUUUUAAAAAUGAGGCCGUUCAUCAUUGGAGAAAACACGACACGUACGCUUAAGGGCAGACUUAAGGCUCUUAACAUUUUUAAAGCAACCAAAAGAGGCAAAAUGUAGACUUUAAAACACAAAAAUGUGCUUUUCUGAGUGUGGCACAGACUCCAAGCCCACAACGUCUGAGGAAGCGUACGGGAUCAGAACCAGCAGCUCCGUUCACAGCCAAACUCGCCUUCAAAAGGCAAGGAGAUGGCGCGCCAAGCUCAGCCCCUGAAAUCACACACGCGGGGUUGAACGUGAGUAACUCAGCCCAUCGUUCCGCACUGUGAAUCUGCUCCAAUACCUGCAGAGACAGGUCCAGCUCCCACUACGAGGGCCCACCGACCAACACGGUACACCGAGGGUGAAAAAGCCACGACCAGGCCCACCUGGAAAACACCAUCAGCUCCUAGAAAUGCCACUUCCUUCCUCCUCCCGCCGCUCCGGGCCUCCCGAGCCAAGACAAGCGCAGGUUGGGACUUGCACGGGAAAGCUCACCUGAGA
RNAcentral lists this long non-coding RNA (5482 nucleotides) under Homo sapiens (human). RNAcentral describes it as "non-protein coding lnc-DNAAF5-1:11". The record is from RNAcentral. Lineage: Eukaryota; Metazoa; Chordata; Mammalia; Primates; Hominidae.